This 74-nucleotide transfer RNA is filed under the name Candidatus Omnitrophota bacterium. RNAcentral describes it as "Candidatus Omnitrophica bacterium (sediment metagenome) tRNA-Trp". It matches the Rfam family "tRNA". Rfam says of the family: Transfer RNA (tRNA) molecules are approximately 80 nucleotides in length. Their secondary structure includes four short double-helical elements and three loops (D, anti-codon, and T loops). The record is from RNAcentral. Lineage: Bacteria; Pseudomonadati; Candidatus Omnitrophota.
AGGCCUGUAGCUCCAAUUGGUAGAGCGACGGUCUCCAAAACCGUGCGUUGCAGGUUCGACUCCUGCCAGGCCUG